GACGAACGCUGGCGGCGUGCUUAACACAUGCAAGUCGAACGGAAAGGCCCUGCUUUUGUGGGGUGCUCGAGUGGCGAACGGGUGAGUAACACGUGAGUAACCUGCCCUUGACUUUGGGAUAACUUCAGGAAACUGCGGCUAAUACCGGAUAGGAGCUCCUGCUGCAUGGUGGGGGUUGGAAAGUUUCGGCGGUUGGGGAUGGACUCGCGGCUUAUCAGCUUGUUGGUGGGGUAGUGGCUUACCAAGGCUUUGACGGGUAGCCGGCCUGGGAGGGUGACCGGCCACAUUGGGACAGAGAUACGGCCCGGACUCCUACGGGAGGCAGCAGUGGAGAAUAUUGCACAAUGGGCGGAAGCCUGAUGCAGCAACGCCGCGUGCGGGAUGACGGCCUUCGGGUUGGAAACCGCUUUCGCCUGUGACGAAGCGUGAGUGACGGUAAUGGGUAAAGAAACACGGGCUAACUACGU
This 467-nucleotide ribosomal RNA is filed under the name uncultured bacterium. Its description in RNAcentral is "partial 16S ribosomal RNA". It matches the Rfam family "Bacterial small subunit ribosomal RNA", at positions 28 to 506 of the family's 1533-position model. The record is from RNAcentral.